UCUCCAAGCUUGGCAACUUUAAGACUUGUGGGCUUCACCUCUCAGAUCAAAUAGGGCCAAAAACUAUUAACUAUUCAAUAAUUCAGUCCAGUUUUUUUAAGCUUAACACUGAUAACACUUAGCAGUUCAACAGUGUAGAAUCUUUCAAGUGCCUUCAUUGCCAAAAUGUUGCCCGAAAUAAUGUUUGCACACAUGAGGAAAACACCUGUGAUUCAGGAUUGUGGAAAUUCUGCUACACUCAACUGAUUAGCAAAAACUCUGUGAUGACACAUGUGAAACGUGGUUGUUCUCUGGUGUGCCGUAACUUGAAAAGGGGAGACAUCGACUAUGAAGAACGGAUGUUGUGCUGUGUGAGAGACCUCUGCAACAGUCAUAACUUCUGGACAAAUGAGUAAAUGAAGGAAGGAAGAAAA
Molecule: non-coding RNA, 413 nt
Organism: Pseudonaja textilis
Lineage: Eukaryota; Metazoa; Chordata; Lepidosauria; Squamata; Elapidae
Source: RefSeq, a predicted model, not a curated record